GAUGAACGCUGGCGGCGUGCCUAAUACAUGCAAGUCGAGCGAACAGAUAAGGAGCUUGCUCCUUUGACGUUAGCGGCGGACGGGUGAGUAACACGUGGGUAACCUACCUAUAAGACUGGAAUAACUACGGGAAACCGGGGCUAAUGCCGGAUAACAUGUUGAACCGCAUGGUUCUACAGUGAAAGGCGGCUUUGCUGUCACUUAUAGAUGGACCCGCGCCGCAUUAGCUAGUUGGUGAGGUAACGGCUCACCAAGGCAACGAUACGUUGCCGACCUGAGAGGGUGAUCGGCCACACUGGAACUGAGACACGGUCCAGACUCCUACGGGAGGCAGCAGUAGGGAAUCUUCCGCAAAGGGCGAAAGCCUGACGGAGCAACGCCGCGUGAGUGAUGAAGGUCUUCGGAUCGUAAAACUCUGUUAUUAGGGAAGAACAAAUGCGUAAGUAACUGUGCGCGUCUUGACGGUACCUAAUCAGAAAGCCACGGCUAACUACGUG
This 497-nucleotide ribosomal RNA is filed under the name uncultured bacterium. Its description in RNAcentral is "partial 16S ribosomal RNA". It matches the Rfam family "Bacterial small subunit ribosomal RNA", at positions 28 to 507 of the family's 1533-position model. The record is from RNAcentral.